Molecule: ribosomal RNA, 265 nt
Filed under: uncultured prokaryote
Description: partial 16S ribosomal RNA
Rfam family: Bacterial small subunit ribosomal RNA
Source: RNAcentral
UACGUAUGGGGCGAGCGUUGUCCGGAAUGAUUGGGCGUAAAGGGCGCGUAGGCUGCUUAGCAAGUCUGCAGUGAAAGUCCUAUUUUCAGGGUAGGAAUUGCUUUGGAAACUGUUGAGCUUGAGUGCAGGAGAGGUUAUCGGAAUUCCCGGUGUAGCGGUGAAAUGCGUAGAGAUCGGGAGGAACACCAGUGGCGAAGGCGGGUAACUGGACUGCAACUGACGCUGAGGCGCGAAAGUGUGGGGAGCAAACAGGAUUAGAUACCCU